RNAcentral lists this ribosomal RNA (792 nucleotides) under Kosakonia sacchari. Its description in RNAcentral is "bacterial SSU rRNA". It matches the Rfam family "Bacterial small subunit ribosomal RNA", at positions 68 to 844 of the family's 1533-position model. Lineage: Bacteria; Pseudomonadati; Pseudomonadota; Gammaproteobacteria; Enterobacterales; Enterobacteriaceae. The record is from RNAcentral.
GGAAAAGGAAAGCUUGCUCUCGGGUGACGAGUGGCGGACGGGUGAGUAAUGUCUGGGAAACUGCCUGAUGGAGGGGGAUAACUACUGGAAACGGUAGCUAAUACCGCAUAACGUCGCAAGACCAAAGAGGGGGACCUUCGGGCCUCUUGCCAUCAGAUGUGCCCAGAUGGGAUUAGCUAGUAGGUGGGGUAACGGCUCACCUAGGCGACGAUCCCUAGCUGGUCUGAGAGGAUGACCAGCCACACUGGAACUGAGACACGGUCCAGACUCCUACGGGAGGCAGCAGUGGGGAAUAUUGCACAAUGGGCGCAAGCCUGAUGCAGCCAUGCCGCGUGUAUGAAGAAGGCCUUCGGGUUGUAAAGUACUUUCAGCGGGGAGGAAGGGAGUAAGGUUAAUAACCUUGCUCAUUGACGUUACCCGCAGAAGAAGCACCGGCUAACUCCGUGCCAGCAGCCGCGGUAAUACGGAGGGUGCAAGCGUUAAUCGGAAUUACUGGGCGUAAAGCGCACGCAGGCGGUCUGUCAAGUCGGAUGUGAAAUCCCCGGGCUCAACCUGGGAACUGCAUCCGAAACUGGCAGGCUUGAGUCUCGUAAGGGAGGUAGAAUUCCAGGUGUAGCGGUGAAAUGCGUAAGAUCUGGAGGAAUACCGGUGGCGAAAAGCGGCCUCCUGGACGAAAACUGACACUCACGUGCGAAAGCGUGGGGGAGCACACCCCGAUUAGAUACCCUCGUAGUCCCCGCCGCAGAAAGAUGUCGAUUUGGUAGGUGGUGGGGGGUUUAUUUAUGGCUACCU